GGGUUGCUAACUCAACGGUAGAGUACUCGGCUUUCUACUCCAUCCGACUAGUUCCGGGUUCGAGUCC
RNAcentral lists this transfer RNA (67 nucleotides) under Casuarina cunninghamiana. RNAcentral describes it as "tRNA-Lys". The record is from RNAcentral. Lineage: Eukaryota; Viridiplantae; Streptophyta; Magnoliopsida; Fagales; Casuarinaceae.